UUUCCGUAGGUGAACCUGCGGAAGGAUCAUUCAUAAUAAAGUGUUUUAUGGCACUUUAUAAAAAUCCAUAUCCACCUUGUGUGCAAUGUUAGAUCUCGUCAAUCUUGGCGAGAUUUUUAUACAUCAACUCAUUCUUUAACUAAUUUGUCUGAAAAAUAUUAUGAAUACUUAAUUCAAAAUACAACUUUCAACAACGGAUCUCUUGGCUCUCGCAUCGAUGAAGAUCGCAGC
This 231-nucleotide unclassified non-coding RNA is filed under the name plant metagenome. RNAcentral's name for it is "partial contains small subunit ribosomal RNA, internal transcribed spacer 1, and 5.8S ribosomal RNA". The stretch from base 183 to 231 matches the Rfam family "5.8S ribosomal RNA", at positions 1 to 49 of the family's 154-position model. The record is from RNAcentral.